This 322-nucleotide unclassified non-coding RNA is filed under the name fungal sp. Its description in RNAcentral is "partial internal transcribed spacer region". The stretch from base 1 to 45 matches the Rfam family "Eukaryotic small subunit ribosomal RNA", at positions 1787 to 1831 of the family's 1831-position model. Lineage: Eukaryota; Fungi. The record is from RNAcentral.
AGUCGUAACAAGGUUUCCGUAGGUGAACCUGCGGAAGGAUCAUUAACACUUUUAAUUAAAAAUUAAAAAAACACUUAACACCUUUGUGAGAACUACUUAAACAAACAAAACUGAAGAUGAAAGGGGGGGAAGGAGAAAGAAUCAAAGAAGGAAAUUUCCUCUCUUUGGUUUCUCUCACACCCCCUCCCUCUCUGAUUCAAUUAUUUAUUUUAAAACAAAAACACCAUAAUAAAUUAAAGGUGAACAAAUUCUUGGAGUUAAAAAACCAAAUAAAAAAUAAAACAAAAAUACAACUCUUAACAAUGGAUAUCUUGGUUCUCGC